AAUAUGCUGUUUACAUAUGAAGGCAUUAGCCACACUGUUUGCAUACUUGACUAUGUUUCUAACAGUUUUUCACAAGGCCCACAAGGGAUCCAUCAGAUAGGUCAAGUUAGGAAUUAAGAAGCAGGUGUCUCCAGUCCAUUCCAGGGGAAGAAAGAAUGUCUUGCAGAAGGAGGAAUCCAAGUGGGCCACCAGUUCUCUUGACUGUGGGAGGCCUGGACUCUACCUGGAAUGAAGAGGUUUACAACACGGUCAUUCAGAGUCAAAGGCUGAACAAGUGGAGGGACCGCCAGGGCUGAUAGACACAGACAGCGGUCCUGAGGAAACACAGCAAAUUUCAGGUACAGAAACAUGUGUGUAC
Long non-coding RNA from Acipenser ruthenus (sterlet), 358 nucleotides. RefSeq lists it as uncharacterized. Lineage: Eukaryota; Metazoa; Chordata; Actinopteri; Acipenseriformes; Acipenseridae. The record is from RefSeq and is a predicted model, not a curated record. The transcript is spliced from 3 exons.